This is a long non-coding RNA of Ixodes scapularis (black-legged tick), 3688 nucleotides long. RefSeq lists it as uncharacterized. The record is from RefSeq and is a predicted model, not a curated record. Lineage: Eukaryota; Metazoa; Arthropoda; Arachnida; Ixodida; Ixodidae. The transcript is spliced from 5 exons.
GUAGCAGGGAACGACGACGCCAUUAGGUCGUUUGGUUUGGUUCGUGCCGGUUAUUGCACGCUUGCGGAGUUCUUCCGAAUGUUGCUCUUCGAUGUGGUUUUAAGUCCUCCGCGAACGGUUCAUCGUCGGAGAUCUUCAACCGGUCUCGCUCUCAACUGGGUGUGCACGCGGAGGAAGUGGAUGCACUUGGCCAAGUUCCCAAGUAUUCAACUUUGCAACAGAGAAGAAGCAGAGGUGACAAAAGCUGAAGCAAGUCUCCCUUCAAGGAUGGCUUUUUGAAGUACCACACUAACCCACCAGCUUGCAAGCCCACCUCUCAUCUUGAGCCAAUAGCAGCGGUUGAGUGGAAAGAUGUCUGCGUGAAUACCUGCAAGAAACAGAAAAAGUGAAGCUAAAACCUUCAAGUGAGUGCACAUCAGCUUGCAUAGCUUGCCAGAGACGAUAUGUUCAGCUUGAAUGUGUGAAAACAGACGGCGCUCUCAAUCCCGAAAGCAGCUCCGGGACAUCUACCACACUUGACCGCAGCUCGCAGUCAUGCGAACAGUCAUACCCUUGGUGCGUCGUGUACUCGACCACAAUUUUUGUUGUGGUGGUUGGUAUCGUCAGUGCCUUGUGCGAGUGCUCCCUGUGUGCCUUGGAUGAGGCAUUUCAGAAUGCACCAAGGAGUGUUCCAAAGUGCACCACUGCCAGCAGAGCCUGUUCAUCUUAACCAGCUGUUGGUUGGCGAUAUUGCCAAUGGAGUGUUAAAGAGGCUUUUCAAAGUUGUUCCGUGCUGUGGUUGCUUCAAGUGGGGUGUCUGCAGGUGUCCUCAGUCUUCAGAGUGUUGUGGUGGUUUGAAGGUGAGAAUGCUGCCGGUGUUUGUGGUCGCCCAUUAUGUGAGUGAGGUGCCUGUGUGUGUGUUUAUUGGCAGUGUUAAAAAUUCAGCACGUCCGAGCCGACAUGGAUACCGCUUUAUGAGUGGCUGCAUGAUCGGCGGAAGGGAAUAUGUGCAAAUGAAGUCUCAAGGUGUAAUGUAUCCUCUCUGCUUGUAAUGCAGAGAGCAGUGCCCCAAGGAAUAUGUGUUGUGGUGAUUUGUGCAGUGCUGUGAAGUGAUAGUGUACGGAAGGCAAGGCCCUGCAGUGAGGUGAGGUGAAGUGACCCACUUCCCGGAAAGUGGUCUAGGCAGUUAUCCCUCCGCUGCAGUGAUCACGUCGUCAAUUGCAAGCAUUUCCUGCCCUGCUGAUCUACUGGGCAACAUGCUCUGCAAAGUCUCCUAGACCUUCAACAAGGCUACCAAAGGUCGACAAUCCUACUUUUCCAAGGGGCAGAUCGCAAGAUGUGUUGUGCGGUGGUGUGGAGUGCGGUGUUGUGUUGCGGCUUGUUUGACUGUCGGCACAUUUGAAGCUGGUGAAUGUGCAGUGCGAGUGCAAUCAUGUUGGCUCAAAAGGCAUCUCACGUGCUGCAGUCUUCUGUGCAUGUCGGCAUGUUUCACAAAGCGUGAUGUGUGUGUGUGUGGUGAACGUCUCUGGCGAGUCUUCGGAAAAGAGGAAAGGCAGAGCCUUCAUGAAGUGUGAUCAAAAGGCGACGUCAACUUUGUGUCAUCUAAGCGCCUGCUUGAAGAAGAAACUUCUUCAAACAGGUGCCUCAAUCUUGGCUUCUACCAAAGAUUCCGUGGAGCUUUAGUGGAUUCCGCAUAACUAAGCUAAACACUCACAGUUGCAACAUCGAAAUGGAACUGCUGCAAGGUAGACAGUUGAGCAAGGCAUAAUUUUAGAAGCACAACAACAUGUGGAAUGGCAGGAGGAGAUGUUUUUAACACACAAGUCUGCAUGGCAGAACCUCUGAAAUAUGAUGAUUCAAUAACUCUCCAGAAGUCUACCAGGGCCACUCACCACUGAUGCAGUUACAUGUCCCCAUGUAAGGCAGCCUGGGUGUGAAUAGGAAAGUCCAGGUUACGUGCAUUUCACUGUUGAGAUGGGAAAAUAUGUGCAGUAGUGCCUUGGCAGAAACCAAACUAUUGACUUGUGAGAAGCUACAAAGAAAAUUCUGGAAGUUUCCAAAGCCAAAUCAACGAAAGCUGUUGGGCAUGCAUCAGUGGAGGACUGAAGAUUAAUUUAGACCACCCAGGGUUCUUUUGGUGUGCAACCAAACUCUUGCAUGGCACCCACCUUGUCCAUGACAAGCCUCCUUCAAAUUGGGGGCACCUUGGUCAGCACGCAAGCCUGCCAACUGGCACUAUGGCUCCCCCAAGAGCGUCUGCAUGGUGGCGAGCAAAAAGGCAAGAGAACACCGAGAACAGAAGAUCUGAGUUUUAGAUCUCCAGAGUUAUGGAAUCACCUUCAUUCUACAAGUGGAGUGUCUUGGUUGCAGCAUGCAGUGCGGUUUGGUGCAGUGGUGUAUGCAGCGCAAGUCCAGUGCAAUAGUGUGUGCAGUGCAGUGGUGUGUGCAAGAAUGUGCUGUGCCAUUGCAGAAGACGAGUGAGGGUGCAGUGCAAGUGAAGAGGUGCGUUUGGUGCUAGACAGUGCUUCUAAAAGUCCACUUCUCUCUUUUGAAGCAAAUCUCGUGAGCGGCAAUGGGCUUAGUACUGGGCCAGUUCUGAGCAAUGUCAGAAAAGGUCCACACUGGUUGAUCUGCAGCACAAUAUUGCAGAUAUCCUUGCUACCUGUGAAGGUCAGUUAGCCCUUCCUGCUUAUCUCUUUGCCCUACAAAAGUUGAGUUAUCCUAGACUUUCUAGCAGAUUAACCUCCUAGCAACAAGCUUAUUAAUGCACUUUUCUUUAGUAAUCCUUAAUGUAAAUCUGCAAGUUGAUUCAUCCUAGACUUUUUGGCAGAUUAACUUCUCAGCAACGCCCACAUUUUUUGAAUGUAAUUGUAAUGUAGACUUCAAAUGUUUUUUUUUUUUUUUUUUCCUACAAGUUUAUAUAUUCUAGGCUUUUUGGAUGUAGUCCCUAACCAAUUUAUGCAAUUUACCUGUGAAGUUUGUGUUUUUCAGGUGCUGCUCCUCAUGGGUCCAUUAAGAUUUGUGACUGGCAAACAAAUUUGAGCUAUUUCCUUGUAAAUAACGUCGGUUGCAACUAGAUAUCGUGGGUCUCAGAUCUCUCACUGGAACCUCAUACACUCUUGGAAACUAACAUUAGUUCUAAGUGGGCAGCAAGAGCACAUCCACUGGAACGCAAUCUUGCUCUGCAAUAACCCACUCCUACCAUGCUUCGUUAGCACCCAUUAAACAAGUUUGCAGAUCCUCUUCUGAAUGGAAAGCUCCGAAUAAAGAAGGACGAAGAAGGGGACAGAGGGGGACAAAAAGAGAACUCCGAGUUCUUUUUCGUCCUCGUUUAUUCGGCGCUUUCCAUUCAGUGAUGCACCAACUAGCCCAUUUUAUCUAUUCUACUACAAACCCUCUUCACCAGUAAUAUACUUGGACUGAUCUAUCUUAACCUCAGCUUUGUGAAAUUUACAUCUAUGCCAGCCAGGACUUAUAAUCACUCACCAAAACCGACUCUGCUGUCAGCAGGUGCGUGUUCCAAAGUCUGUGUUUCAGCUACUCCAGCAGAGGAGGUGGUUUCAAGUCGUCGCAGUCUUCAGUACAGCCGCGAGCUGUGGAACCUGAACAUCACUCACAGCGUCACAAACUGCGGGCGCUGUGGAUGCCAUAUCAUCUGCCACUGCCCUGUUGCAUCAGCAAAACAAUUCCACGAGUGGAUACUCCUUCA